UGGGGAAUUUUGGACAAUGGGCGAAAGCCUGAUCCAGCAAUGCCGCGUGUGUGAAGAAGGCCUUCGGGUUGUAAAGCACUUUUGUCCGGAAAGAAAUCCUUGGCUCUAAUACAGUCGGGGGAUGACGGUACCGGAAGAAUAAGCACCGGCUAACUACGUGCCAGCAGCCGCGGUAAUACGUAGGGUGCAAGCGUUAAUCGGAAUUACUGGGCGUAAAGCGUGCGCAGGCGGUUUGCUAAGACCGAUGUGAAAUCCCCGGGCUCAACCUGGGAACUGCAUUGGUGACUGGCAGGCUAGAGUAUGGCAGAGGGGGGUAGAAUUCCACGUGUAGCAGUGAAAUGCGUAGAGAUGUGGAGGAAUACCGAUGGCGAAGGCAGCCCCCUGGGCCAAUACUGACGCUCAUGCACGAAAGCGUGGGGAGCAAACAGGAUUAGAUACCCUGGUAGUCCACGCCCUAAACGAUGUCAACUAGUUGUUGGGGAUUCAUUUCCUUAGUAACGUAGCUAACGCGUGAAGUUGACCGCCUGGGGAGUACGGUCGCAAGAUC
This 547-nucleotide ribosomal RNA is filed under the name uncultured bacterium. RNAcentral's name for it is "partial 16S ribosomal RNA". It matches the Rfam family "Bacterial small subunit ribosomal RNA", at positions 355 to 895 of the family's 1533-position model. The record is from RNAcentral.